This 403-nucleotide ribosomal RNA is filed under the name uncultured bacterium. Its description in RNAcentral is "bacterial SSU rRNA". It matches the Rfam family "Bacterial small subunit ribosomal RNA", at positions 355 to 775 of the family's 1533-position model. The record is from RNAcentral.
UGGGGAAUCUUGCACAAUGGGGGAAACCCUGAUGCAGCGACGCCGCGUGAGCGAUGAAGCCCUUCGGGGUGUAAAGCUCUUUCGGCAGGGACGAUAAUGACGGUACCUGAAGAAGAAGCUGCGGCUAACUACGUGCCAGCAGCCGCGGUAAUACGUAGGCAGCGAGCGUUGUUCGGAGUUACUGGGCGUAAAGCGUGCGUAGGCGGUAGUCCAAGUCUGGUGUGAAAUCUCCCGGCUCAACUGGGAGGGUGCGCCGGAAACUGGGCUGCUGGAGUACGGGAGAGGCAAGCGGAAUUCCUGGUGUAGCGGUGAAAUGCGUAGAUAUCAGGAGGAACACCCGUGGUGCAGACGGCUUGCUGGACCGUGACUGACGCUGAGGCACGAAAGCGUGGGUAGCAAACAG